UCUCUCCCUCAUUCUCUUUCUCCCUCUUUCUCUCCUUCUCUCUCUGUCUUUUUGUCUCCCCUUAUGUCUCUUGCAUUGUGCCUGAAUAAUUUUCAGGGAUUUUUUUUUUUUUUUCUCUCUUGCACGCACAUGCUAAAAGAACUAGACAAAGAUGCAAGGUGUUUGCUGCAGUCCCUGUCUCUAGGAAAAAAUAAAACAACAAGAAAGCUCAUGAUUGCAAUGCCACCUUUUCUUUUCUUUCUUUCCUUUUUUUUUUUUUUUCUUUUCCACUCAUGCUCGGUGAUUAAACUUCCCCAGGAUGAAAAAGGAGCUGGAAUUGAAAUAGGGCUGAGGAAAAGACCAUUGCAGCAGCUGCAGUCAGUGGUGUCUACUGCCAGAUGUGCUAAGGUUCCUGGGCUCCUUGACACUAAAAGGCAGCAUAAAAAUAUUUGGAGACAAAAGCUGCAUCCUCAGUGAUGAUUCUCUUUAUUUAACAUGGCAGCAGGCACCGUGUGGGAGAAAAUCAACAUGCUGGAUGUUGAAUUGGACUUUCCUCCUUUCUAGGAUGAAAGGAUGUUAUCUAUCCCGUGCCAAGAGGGAGCUGAGGUGCAGGGGGAGGGGAAGAAAGUCUCCAAAACCAGCCCGGGAUGAGCAAUGAACAUAAGGCUGUUACUAUCAGCACUGGUGUAUUUGCAGCGAUGCCUAUCAACAUCCACCAGAGAGCAGGGCAGCUCCAAAACCCACAUCUUUCAUGCUGUGGAAAUUGAUGGAGACAGCAACACAGCCAGCUUCUUGGCCAAACAACAUGGAAUGCAGUUCAUUUCAAAGGUACUGGUCUCUUAGCCUGUAAGGCUUGUGCAUGAUGUAUAUGAGAGCGGUUUCCAGCAGAGAGAAGCUUAUCACAGAUCCACCUAAAAGGAAGAGAUGAUGGCACCAACAAUGUGUCCCUCUGUCUGAAAGACGUAAUUGCUUGACGGAAGAACAGUCUGUUCGACUCCUGGGUGUGAUGAAAGUGAUGCUGGUAAGGAAGGAAAAUAUUUCUAGGAACUGAUGAAUGAUUAUAGAAUCUCUAAGGAGGACAUUUGCCUGUGACUGUUAAAGUGCUGAAUUGACUUUCCUGAUCCUUGAUAAAUAAAUGGAAAGAAUGUUUUCUGUUACCGGAGGCUGUGCUGGAGGUUGCACCUUUUCCUGUCAGAUAUGGACUUUGCUACCAUGAUUCGAGGCUUGUUUAUCACUGGAUUACUUCAGACUGUUCUGCUUGGGUUUGUCAGCUGAGAAGCAUAGAGACAUCAGAUGUUAAAGCUUGAAGAAAAUUCUAAGCAACAUAAGGAAGAGUGCAACCUGUUGUUUAGAUGUGUCAACAUACGGCAUUGAAAUAUCUUCAAGGACAUGGUCAUUGUCUCCAAAUUACCAAUUGCCAAAUUCGUAAGCACCCUGGGGACUGAGCUAUGGGGACAUCCUGUAUGAUUAAGUUUGGUCCUUUUAAGAAAGCACUGACUCUUUUCAGAAGAGGUUCUUUGGCCUGAACAUAGGGAGGGGUUUUGCCAGCUAGUGCACAUGAUAGGAAUGCACUAUUUUUACAUAAUAUUUCCACCAGUACAGCAGCAUUACUUCCUUCCAUUACAUUCCUCUGCAACCUGCAUACUCUAAAAAAUAAAAUGUAUUUUACCAGUAUGUGUGCUGAGUUUUCAGUACGAUACCUGAUACAUGAUUUACUAUGAUGUUUUCACAGUAAAUUCUUACUUAUGUAUUUUCAUGCUACUUCAAUAAAACCAUCAAAACUGAAAGUCAAAGCAAAACAAAAACAAAGAGGUAAAAACAUGGAAUAGGAUAAACCAAUUAUCCUUUAUUAUGAGUGUUGUUUGCUAAAAACAUCAGCUUUGAUUUAGCUUUAUGGGGUAACUUCAGUGGAAAUUUAUUUGCAAAACUACAAGAAAAAAAAAAAGAAACUAUCACUUCUACUUUACAAUAAUUUUUAAUACUCCACAGGCUGCAUAAGACUACAAAGUAGUGGAUUAGCAUGAGGGGAAGAUGGUUACUACUUGUGAGUAAGCCUUUCUUUUUGUUCCACAAUAUAUUUAUGGUGCUAUAUAGCUAAAUAAGAGCUGUGUCCUAUUUUAAGUCACAACAUGCACUUAUGGAUCUAUGCCCUUGUUGAUCCUUAUGAAGGAAAAAUGUUUCUUUGUAAACAGCGUGGCUACUGUGAUGAAUUGUUAGGAUUUAUAUAAAUACAUAUGUAAUGAAAAGAGAAUGUUAAAAUUCAAAUAAAUGUAUUUUCAUUGUUUUUAAUAUGUAAUUUUAACUUUUUUACCAUGCUGAAAAGAAUGAGAGUUUUUAGAUUCACGUUAUGAUUAAACGUUAGCAUUAUUUCUGUUUUCUAUGGUAAAUAAAAUUAAAUAAAGCAAGUUCAAGAACUCAGGAGUUUUCUUCACAAAACUUUUGACC
This is a non-coding RNA of Anas platyrhynchos (mallard), 2424 nucleotides long. NCBI's taxonomy places the organism in Eukaryota, Metazoa, Chordata, Aves, Anseriformes, Anatidae. The record is from RefSeq and is a predicted model, not a curated record.